UGUGGCAAGUGUCUGUAUACUGGAGAAGCCCUGAUUUAGCUGGGGAGUGGCUUUCUGGUGCUGGACUUUAUGUCUUUGCACUGGGGAGCCCCACAACUGCAGCAAGUGUCUGUAUACUGGAGAAGCCCUGAUUUAGCUGGGGAGCAGCUUUCUCGUGCUGGACUUCAUGUCUCUGCACUGGGGACCCAUACAAAUAGUGAGAGCGUGGCCCUCGUAGGGGCCGUACAAGGAGCAGCCCCUAUUUCAGCUGAGGGGUGGCUUUCUGGUGCUGGACUUUAUGUCUUUGCACUGGGGAGCCCUACAACUGCGGCACGUGUCUGUAUACUGGAGAAGCCCUGAUCAGGCUGGGGAUAUCAGCAGUCGAGCACUUUCUUUAAUGGAAUAUAAAGUUCAAAAUUUAGGACUGUCCUUUGUUCCAUUGUCUUUUCAUGAUGAAUUUAAAUUAGAGGUGGAUUUAUUCAACCUGGAGAGACUCAUAAAAUUACGGAUUAUGUUUGGAGAUACCUAGGAAUCUGAUCAGGAAAGGUUUUGACCUAAAUCUCAUCUUGUUCCAUAUCUUGAACAUCCCACUGUUACUGUUUUCAUGAAUGAAGUUAAAUAGAUAUAGAUAUAUAGAGAUAUAUAUAGAGAGAGAUAUAUAUAUAUAAAAUUGGAAAAGCAAUAUAAACGUAUGAAAUUCAAACAUGGAAAUUUAACAAGGGAAGAAUGGGAGGCUGUUCAGGAUUUGUCUUAUGAUGGCAAUAUAGUUGUAAAACCUGCGGACAAAGGUGAGGCUUUGGUUAUUCAGGAUUGGGAAAAGUAUGAUCUAGAAAUUAAUACUCAGCUGGCUGAUCGGACUACAUAUGUCCCUAUUGAACAUCCGGCAGACGCUGUAGGAUAUAUUAAGCAUUUUUGGUACCAUUGAAGCCAGUACAAUUUGGUAUCCAGUAGCAUUUCUAAUUUAGAAACCACUGGUAGGUACAGUGUCAUUUUGGAAGAAAUAAAUGUAAUUACUAAAAAAUUUCUAACCCUUAAGUUAAUGUAAUUUGUUGAAGGUAUUUUGAAAUGAUGCAUAUGUUAUUAUGUAUUCCGCUGGCUUCUCCGGAUGAAGUCUUGUUCAAGUAGGAGGAAACAGGUUAAAAUGACUUAGGAUACCUGUUGGGAACUUUUUGGACAAGGAGCAUCUAUCGGAAGGAGCAACAUUUGUACAUGGAGCUACCUUUAGAAUAGGAACUUGUAAAGAGAAAAGAUUUGGUAGGACUUUUGGAGUAACAACUUGAAUACAGAACCAGCAAGAGAAAUGAUUUGGUAGGACUUUUGGAGUAACAACUUGAAUACGGAACCAGCAAGAGAAAUGAUUUGGUAAGACUUUUGGAGUAACAACUUGAAUACAGAACCAGCAAGAGAAAUGAUUUGGUAAGACUUUUGGAGUAACAACUUGAAUACAGAACCAGCAAGAGAAAAGAUCUGGUAGGACUUUAUGUCUACAUGUAAUAGGACCACGGACAUUAUUGACCUUCAGCUACAAUGUUUUGGGGUUGAGAACACAGACAAUUUCUCUAGCAAUUUGUGUGUUUCAUUCAUGUAAUUUGUGUGUGUGAAAUAGACUCUUCUACACGGUAUAUAUACUAUCCUGUAUAUGUUUGUUGAGCCCUACAUCUGUGGCAAGUGUCUGUAUACAGGAGAAGCCCUGAUUUAGCUUGGGAGCAGCUUUCUCAUGCUGGACUUCAUGUCUCUGCACGGGGGACCCAUACAAAUAGUGAGAGCGUGGCCCUCGUAGGGGCCGUACAAUGAGCAGCCCCUAUUUCAGCUGAGGGGUGGCUUUCUCGUGCUGGACUUUAUGUCUUUGCACUGGGGAGCCCCACAACUGUGGCAAGUGUCUGUAUACUGGAGAAGCCCUGAUUUAGCUGGGGAGUGGCUUUCUGGUGCUGGACUUUAUGUCUUUGCACUGGGGAGCCCUACAACUGUGGCAAGUGUCUGUAUACUGGAGAAGCCCUGAUUUAGCUGGGGAGUGGCUUUCUGGUGCUGGACUUUAUGUCUUUGCACUGGGGAGCCCUACAACUGUGGCAAGUGUCUGUAUACUGGAGAAGCCCUGGUCUGGCUGGGGAGUGGCUUUCUCAUGCGGGACUUUAUGUCUUUGCACUGGGUAGCCCCACAACUGUGGUAAGUGUCUGUAUACUGGAGAAGCCCUGAUUUAGCUGGGGAGUGGCUUUCUGGUGCUGGACUUUAUGUCUUUGCACUGGGGAGCCCCACAACUGUGGCAAGUGUCUGUAUACUGAAGAAGCCCUGAUUUAGCUGGGGAGUGGCUUUCUGGUGCUGGGCUUUAUGUCUUUGCACUGGGGAGCCCUACAACUGCGGCAAGUGUCUGUAUACUGGAGAAGCCCUGAUCAGGCUGGGGAUAUCAGCAGUCGAGCACUUUCUUUAAUGGAAUAUAAAGUUCAAAAUUUAGGACUGUCCUUUGUUCCAUUGUCUUUUCAUGAUGAAUUUAAAUUAGAGGUGGAUUUAUUCAACCUGGAGAGACUCAUAAAAUUACGGAUUAUGUUUGGAGAUACCUAGGAAUCUGAUCAGGAAAGGUUUUGACCUAAAUCUCAUCUUGUUCCAUAUCUUGAACAUCCCACUGUUACUGUUUUCAUGAAUGAAGUUAAAUAGAUAUAGAUAUAUAUAGAUAUAUAUAUAGAUAUAUAGAUAUAUAUAAAAUUGGAAAAGCAAUAUAAACGUAUGAAAUUCAAACAUGGAAAUUUAACAAGGGAAGAAUGGGAGGCUGUUCAGGAUUUGUCUUAUGAUGGCAAUAUAGUUGUAAAACCUGCGGACAAAGGUGGGGCUUUGGUUAUUCAGGAUUGGGAAAAGUAUGAUCUAGAAAUUAAUACUCAGCUGGCUGAUCGGACUACAUAUGUCCCUAUUGAACAUCCGGCAGACGCUGUAGGAUAUAUUAAGCAUUUUUGGUACCAUUGAAGCCAGUACAAUUUGGUAUCCAGUAGCAUUUCUAAUUUAGAAACCACUGGUAGGUACAGUGUCAUUUUGGAAGAAAUAAAUGUAAUUACUAAAAAAUUUCUAACCCUUAAGUUAAUGUAAUUUGUUGAAGGUAUUUUGAAAUGAUGCAUAUGUUAUUAUGUAUUCCGCUGGCUUCUCCUGAUGAAGUCUUGUUCAAGUAGGAGGAAACAGGUUAAAAUGACUUAGGAUACCUGUUGGGAACUUUUUGGACAAGGAGCAUCUAUCAGAAGGAGCAACAUUUGUACAUGGAGCUACCUUUAGAAUAGGAACUUGUAAAGAGAAAAGAUUUGGUAGGACUUUUGGAGUAACAACUUGAAUACGGAACCAGCAAGAGAAAUGAUUUGGUAAGACUUUUGGAGUAACAACUUGAAUACAGAACCAGCAAGAGAAAUGAUUUGGUAAGACUUUUGGAGUAACAACUUGAAUACAGAACCAGCAAGAGAAAAGAUCUGGUAGGACUUUAUGUCUACAUGUAAUAGGACCACGGACAUUAUUGACCUUCAGCUACAAUGUUUUGGGGUUGAGAACACAGACAAUUUCUCUAGCAAUUUGUGUGUUUCAUUCAUCUAAUUUGUCUGUGUGAAAUAGACUCUUCUACACCGUAUAUAUACUAUCCUGUAUAUGUUUGUUGAGCCCUACAUCUGUGGCAAGUGUCUGUAUACAGGAGAAGCCCUGAUUUAGCUUGGGAGCAGCUUUCUCAUGCUGGACUUCAUGUCUCUGCACGGGGGACCCAUACAAAUAGUGAGAGCGUGGCCCUCGUAGGGGCCGUACAAUGAGCAGCCCCUAUUUCAGCUGAGGGGUGGCUUUCUCGUGCUGGACUUUAUGUCUUUGCACUGGGGAGCCCCACAACUGUGGCAAGUGUCUGUAUACUGAAGAAGCCCUGAUUUAGCUGGGGAGUGGCUUUCUGGUGCUGGACUUUAUGUCUUUGCACUGGGGAGCCCUACAACUGUGGCAAGUGUCUGUAUACUGGAGAAGCCCUGGUUUAGCUGGGGAGUGGCUUUCUGGUGCUGGACUUUAUGUCUUUGCACUGGGGAGGCCUACAACUGUGGCAAGUGUCUGUAUACUGGAGAAGCCCUGAUUUAGCUGGGGAGUGGCUUUCUGGUGCUGGACUUUAUGUCUUUGCACUGGGGAGCCCCACAACUGCGGCACGUGUCUGUAUACUGGAGAAGCCCUGAUUUAGCUGGGGAGUAGCUUUCUGGUGCUGGACUUUAUGUCUUUGCACUGGGGAGCCCCACAACUGUGGCAAGUGUCUGUAUACUGGAGAAGCCCUGGUCUGGCUCGGGAGUGGCUUUCUUGUGCGGGACUUUAUGUCUUUGCAUGGGGGAGCCCCACCACUGUGGCAAGUGUCUGUAUACUGGAGAAGCCCUGGUCUGGCUGGGGAGUGGCUUUCUCAUGCGGGACUUUAUGUCUUUGCACUGGGUAGCCCCACAACUGUGGUAAGUGUCUGUAUACUGGAGAAGCCCUGAUUUAGCUGGGGAGUGGCUUUCUGGUGCUGGACUUUAUGUCUUUGCACUGGGGAGCCCCACAACUGCGGCAAGUGUCUGUAUACUGGAGAAGCCCUGAUUUAGCUGGGGAGUAGCUUUCUGGUGCUGGACUUUAUGUCUUUGCACUGGGGAGCCCCACAACUGUGGCAAGUGUCUGUAUACUGGAGAAGCCCUGGUCUGGCUCGGGAGUGGCUUUCUUGUGCGGGACUUUAUGUCUUUGCACUGGGGAGCCCCACAACUGUGGCAAGUGUCUGUAUACUGGAGAAGCCCUGAUUUAGCUGGGGAGUGGCUUUCUGGUGCUGGACUUUAUGUCUUUGCACUGGGGAGCCCCACAACUGUGGCAAGUGUCUGUAUACUGAAGAAGCCCUGAUUUAGCUGGGGAGUGGCUUUCUGGUGCUGGACUUUAUGUCUUUGCACUGGGGAGCCCCACAACUGUGGCAAGUGUCUGUAUACUGAAGAAGCCCUGAUUUAGCUGGGGAGUAGCUUUCUGGUGCUGGACUUUAUGUCUUUGCACUGGGGAGCCCCACAACUGUGGCAAGUGUCUGUAUACUGGAGAAGCCCUGGUCUGGCUCGGGAGUGGCUUUCUUGUGCGGGACUUUAUGUCUUUGCAUGGGGGAGCCCCACCACUGUGGCAAGUGUCUGUAUACUGGAGAAGCCCUGGUCUGGCUGGGGAGUGGCUUUCUCUUCCGGGACUUCAUGUCUCUGCACUGGGGAGCCAUUAAAAUAGUGAGAGGGUGGCCCUCAUAGGGGCCGUACAAGGAGCAGCCCCUAUUUCAGCUGAGGGGUGGCUUUCUCGUCCUGGCCUUUAUGUCUUUGCACUGGGGAGCCAUACAAAUAGUGAGAGCGUGGCCCUCGUAAGGGCCGUACAAGGAGCAGCCCCUAUUUCAGCAGAGGUGUGGCUUUCUGGUGCUGGACUUUAUGUCUUUGCACGGCGGAGCCCCACCACUGUGGCAAGUGUCUGUAUACUGGAGAAGCCCUGGUCUGGCUGGGGAGUGGCUUUCUCGUGCGGGACUUCAUGUCUCUGCACUGGGGAGCCAUACAAAUAGUGAGAGCGUGGCCCUCGUAAGGGCCGUACAAGGAGCAGCCCCUAUUUCAGCAGAGGUGUGGCUUUCAGGUGCUGGACUUUAUGUCUUUGCAUGGGGGUGCCCCACCACUGUGGCAAGUGUCUGUAUACUGUAGAAGCCCUGAUUUAGCUGGGGAGUGGCUUUCUCGUGCGGGACUUUAUGUCUUUGCACGUGGGAGCCCCACCACUGUGGCAUGUGUCUGUAUACUGGAGAAGCCCUGCUCUGGCUUGGGAGUGGCUUUCUCGUGCGGGACUUCAUGUCCUGGCACUGGGGAGCCCCGAAAAUGGUGGGAGCAUGGCCUCCUCAGCCGAGCCUGAGUGUCUGUAUGCUGCGUGGCUGCUCAUUUAUCUGCAGGGUGCCGUUCCUCGCUGUGUGACUUCACCCUUCAUCUUGCGAGUGGUGAUGAGUUGGCAUCUCCCAACUGCCCUGUCCCUAGUCUUCAGCUUGGUGCGCCCUGCCCACGAGAAAGCCAGGGACGGUGGAAGUGCGGCAUCCAUGACCUCUUCAAGCAGCGUGGUGUGCCGAGCGGGCCCUGCUGGCUGGCUGAAGGCACACGAAGGCAGUGGGGAGCAAGGACAGAAGAAAGAGGUGCAGAAGGAGGAAGAGAAACAAGCAGGAAGACGCCAGCGGAGACGUGAAAAGAAGCAGGAGGAGACCGGCUCUCCAGGAGCUUAGCAGAAGAAACGGGCAGGCUGUGCUUCCACCAGGCGGACGGCAUCAUUUCUCUCUCUCUCUCGGCCACUGAUCACUCUGCGUGGGGCUGCAGAUGGCCCUGUAGCGUGGCAUUCCUCGUGCUGGACUUCAUGUCUUUGCACUAAGGAGCCCUGACAGGGGUGGGAGUGCGGCCUUCUCAGGCUGCCCCGAAUCUCUCUGCACUGAGUCUCUUGCAAUUGGGUGGGAGGUGGCUUGCUCAUGCUGGACCUGAAGUAUGUGCGCUGAGCCGCCCCUGGUCGGGGCCGGGGGCGUUGCUUUCUCAUGCUGAGCUUGAUGCAUGUGCGCUGAGCUGCCCCUGGCUGGGCUGGCCUGGGGGUGUUGCUUCCUCGCGCCGAGCCUUAUAGGUAUGUGCGCUGAGCCACCCCUGGUCGGGGCUGGGGGUGUUGCUUUUUGCUGCCAGGCCUUAUGUCUGUGCACUGAGCCGCCCCAGUGAGGGCUGGGGGCGUUGCUUCCUCGCGCUGUGCUUCACGUCUUUGCUCUGAGAAGCUCCUCAUUUGGCCGGGGGUGGCUCUCUCCAAUCCUUGCUACAUGACUUUGUCCUUCAUGCUCUGAGUGGUGUUGAGCUGGCCACUCCGCCCUGCCCACGGAGGAAGCUCGGGACGGUAGAAGUGUGGCCUCCCUGACCUCUUCAAGCAGCAGCAGCAGCAGCCUCUGCUGGCUGAAGGCACACGCCUGACGCUUGGUGUGCUCACACUCCUUGGCUUGGGCUCUUGCAUGAGCAGUGCUGCUUCUCAAGAAGGCCUUCUAAAGAGGGAAAAGAGUCAAGAGCUGUGAGAAGCUGAUCUCUUGCCUUAGGAGGCAAGGGAGAGAAAGGGCAGAAGAAAGAAGUGCCGCGGGCUGGCGAAAAAGGAGCACCAGGAGGAGACCUGAAGAUGGAAGAAGGAGGCGGAGGAGACUGGCUCUCAAGCAGCUUCACAGAAGAAAGAAGGGGGAGAUUCCCCUUCGACCAGCUGGAGGGCCUGUUUGCUGGCUUGCUCUCUGCUCUUUCUCCCUGAGUAGAGGCUGAUUUACCUGGAGCCUGGCUGCUUCAGAAGGCUUGGGAUGUCCCUGCCCUGAGUAGCCUCUGGUUUGGGAGGGGCGUGGACAUAACAGGAUGGACUCGGUGUCCAUAUGCUCAGUGGCCCUUUCCUGAACUGGGCUGCGGCAUUCUCGUGCUGGACUUCAUGUCUUUGCACUGGGGAGCCAUACAAAUAGUGAGAGGGUGGCCCUCAUAGAGGCCGUCCAAGGGGCAGCCCCUAUUUCAGCUGAGGUGUGGCUUUCUCAUGCGGGACUUUAUGUCUUUGCACUGGGGAGCCCUGCAACUGUGGCAAGUGUCUGUAUACUGAAGAAGCCCUGAUUUAGCUGGGGAGUGGCUUUCUGGUGCUGGACUUUAUGUCUUUGCACUCGGGAGCCCUGCAACUGUGGUAAGUGUCUGUAUACUGGAGAAGCCCUGAUUUAGCUGGGGAGUAGCUUUCUCGUGCUGGACUUUAUGUCUUUGCACUGGGGAGCCCCACAACUGCGGCAAGUGUCUGUAUACUGGAGAAGCCCUGAUUUAGCUGGGGAGUGGCUUUCUGGUGCUGGACUUUAUGUCUUUGCACUGGGGAGCCAUACAAAUAGUGAGAGCGUGGCCCUCAUAGAGGCCGUCCAAGGGGCAGCCCCUAUUUCAGCUGAGGUGUGGCUUUCUCAUGCUGGAGUUUAUGUCUUUGCACUGGGGAGCCCUGCAACUGUGGCAAGUGUCUGUAUACUGGAGAAGCCCUGAUUUAGCUGGGGAGCGGCUUUCUCAUGCUGGACUUCAUGUCUCUGCACUGGGGAGCCAUAAAAAUAGUGAGAGCAUGGCCCUCUUAGUGGCCGUACAAGGGGCAGCCCCUAUUUCAGCUGAGGUGUGGCUUUCUCGUGCUGGACUUUAUGUCUUUGCACUGGGUAGCCCCACAACUGUGUUAAGUGUCUGUAUACUGGAGAAGCCCUGAUUUAGCUGGGGAGUGGCUUUCUCGUGCUGGACUUUAUGUCUUUGCACUGGGGAUCCCCACAACUCCGGCAAGUGUCUGUAUACUGGAGAAGCCCUGAUUUAGCUGGGGAGUGGCUUUCUGGUGCUGGACUUUAUGUCUUUGCACUGGGGAGCCCUGCAACUCUGGCAAGUGUCUGUAUACUGGAGAAGCCCUGAUUUAGCUGGGGAGUGGCUUUCUUGUGCUGGACUUUAUGUCUUUGCACUGUCUUUCUUAGUGGCCAUACAGUGGGCUUCGGGUAUCACUUUUUUUUUUUUUUUUUUGGUUUUUACAUAUUUUUUUCUUUGGAUUUUACAUUUAAAUGUCUGGGGGAGCUUCAAUCCUGGUUACAUGACUUUGCUCUUCUUUUUCUCAAUAUUUAUGAAGGUGGUACCUUCGGCCUGGCGUGGUGCGGCAGUAGAAGUGCGGCAUUUCUGAUCUCUUCAAGUCGCGUGGUAUGCUGAGUAUGCUCUGCUGGCUGAAAGCACACGGUGCGUGGACUGAUCAGACUAGGAGAUGUGUUCUGAAACCUCAAUCUUUGUGGUCUCAUUCCCUUUGGCUUGGGUUCUUGGAUGAACAUAGAUUGUCUUCAACAUGUCCUUCUUAAGAGAGAAAAGAGUAAAGAACAAACUUUUGUCUUUGUUUAGAAGACAAAGGGGAGAAAAAACAAUAAAUUGUGGAAAUCUGGACUUAGGCGCAUCGAGUAGGCAGAAAAGAACAGAAGUGGGUAUUGAUAAGGAGGAUAAAGAUUCUGAAUCUUUUUGGUUCUCCGUUUGUUAGAAGAGAACAGAAGAAAGAUUGAAGGAACAACUGCAGAACAAGGAGAAAGAACAUCAGAAAGUCCCAACAGGAGCUCUGAAGACUAACUGGAUAAGUGGGAGAAGACCGGAUAACAAGAAGCAGGAGAGAAGAAACAGGCAGGCUCCCCUCGGAGCUGACAGCCUCCUUCAUGACUGAGUAGCAAUUCUAUCACAUAGAAAUAUCCCCACAUUGCUGUGAGCCUGUUUCAACCCAAGAGGGUGACUGUCUCCAAAGGACUUCAGUUUUUGAUGGCGUCUAAAUAUUGGCACAGCCCUGUGAAGCUGCUUGGCCUGUCAGCUGGUGGGGGUCUCAAAAGAGCGGCAUGCUUGAGGGGCAGUUUUCUGGCAGUUCAGUCUUUCAUGCCUGACCCUGUGACUCAGCUACUUCCUGCUCUGAGAAAUCCCCAAGGUACUUGGAGUGUGGUUUUCUUCAUUCCUGGCUUGAUAUCUCUGCUUCAGAUUGCUCAGAGCAGCCACUGAGAUGACUGGAGAGCCACUGGCCUUGGGUGUGUCCAGGGUUUUAUCCUAGAUGGCUUCUCUGCCCCCCAUUAUUUCUGUAUGCUGCUUGCAAUAUUGUUUAAAUACAAACUUAAAAUACAUUAAAAACAAACAAAAAUAGCUGUUGCAUAGGAUAACCUCUAAAAGGAUAGGAUCAAACUUAAAAAGAAUAAACAAGUGUAGUAUAAUAUAAGUAGGAUAACAUCUAAAAGAUUAGGAUAAAAUCUAAAAAGAUUGAAACAAGUAUAGUAUAAUAUAAGAAAUACAGAUCUAUUAACUUAAUUAGGAAGGCUAAUAGGAAAUAAAAUGAAGCAUUUUCAAAGUAGAUUAGAUAUUCUAGACCAACUAGUGUAUUAAAAUAAUAUUCAAAGCAGCAUAUGGGAAUGGUGAGAAAAAGCACUUUGCUACUGAAAGUCUGAAAUGCCAGAACCCAUCCACCAGUCCCUCAUGUAGCUCUUCCGUGGCUCCGGGUCUCUUCCUGCUAGGAUCUUAUAGACUAUUCCCCCUUUGAUGCAAAGAUGGGUGCUUGGGCGAUUUGAUGUAGAAAUAAAGAUCAAUAUUGUCUUUGUGUAGCUUUGUUUACUGACAGGCUUAUAGGAUGCUGAAGAGGGUAUUUCUGUCAAGCACCCCAGAAUUGAUUCUUAUUUCAAGUUGUUUUAACCUGUGUUUUUUUGUAAAUGGCCCAGAGACAUGAGUUUUGGGUGAUCAUAACCACAUAUGCUAAAUAAAAAGCUGUCAGUAUUGUCUGCUAGAAUCAAA
Molecule: long non-coding RNA, 10250 nt
Organism: Hemicordylus capensis (graceful crag lizard)
Lineage: Eukaryota; Metazoa; Chordata; Lepidosauria; Squamata; Cordylidae
Exons: 2
Source: RefSeq, a predicted model, not a curated record